Oryzias melastigma (Indian medaka) is the source of this 832-nucleotide long non-coding RNA. RefSeq lists it as uncharacterized. NCBI's taxonomy places the organism in Eukaryota, Metazoa, Chordata, Actinopteri, Beloniformes, Adrianichthyidae. The transcript has 3 exons. The record is from RefSeq and is a predicted model, not a curated record.
UUGAAAAUAAUACGGCAGCUAAAAUAUGAAUCUGAUUGUCUGGAAUGGUGGUCACGUGAUUGACGUCAUCAAAAGGCGACUGUCGAUUAAAACUCCAGAAGAUUUUAAAAUGAUCCACGAAGUUUCUCCGUCCUGUGGUUUCUUUAAAGGGUUUUGGUUUGAUGCUCUGACUGAACAUUUUCUAAAAACAUUUUGAAACAACAGAACUUUUAUUUAUUGACAUUUUUAGAGAUUUGUUUCCUUUCUUCUGAUCACCACUGAACCUAAAACAGAAACAUUUUCUUUGGUUUGAUUAUUAAAAAUAAUUUGCACUGAAUAAUUAUUAAUACAGCUAUAAUACUUGGUACAUGUUUAAUACAUAAAAGCUAGUUUCUGAAAGCAACACCAACAUGUGUCUUUGGUGGAGAAUUAGAACUUUUUUCUUAUGUCUAAAGCACGUUUUGUACUUUAUGCAUGCACAGGUCGGUCAGCUGAUCCACUCCUGGGUCCUCCACCAGAGGGCGUAGUUUCCCCUGUUUCACUGCAGCUGCGGUUCUGUUGAGGUUCUGCUCUGGUUCUGCAGGAUCCAGCGACCUUCUGGGUUCAGCGAGAUCAUUUAUGUUCAGAUAUUUGGUCUCUUCCGGAGGUUUUUGAGCAGACAUCAAACAUUCUCCCUGAAUCUAGUGAUGAUCUAUUAACCCCCAAAGACAGGAAACUGGUGAAGAAAAUGUCUGGAUGGAUGUUUGAAUGUUUUUAUGACAAUAAUGUUUUUAAAUUGUUGUGUUUUCAAAACCAUUUGUUAUAUUUAUUGUUUAACAUUUGUUUUCCCUCUUUAUCAAAAUACACAAAGCUA